UCGCGCGUGGUCUAACGGCAAGACAACUGACUUUGACUCAGUUGAUGGAGGUUCGAUUCCUUCCGCGCGAA
Molecule: transfer RNA, 71 nt
Filed under: Caldilineaceae bacterium
Lineage: Bacteria; Bacillati; Chloroflexota; Caldilineae; Caldilineales; Caldilineaceae
Description: tRNA-Gln
Rfam family: tRNA
About the family: Transfer RNA (tRNA) molecules are approximately 80 nucleotides in length. Their secondary structure includes four short double-helical elements and three loops (D, anti-codon, and T loops).
Source: RNAcentral